AAGUAUGAAGCAAAGGUUGCAACCAGUUUCGACCUGGUCAUAGAUAAAAAAUUAUCCUUACUUU
RNAcentral lists this transfer RNA (64 nucleotides) under Anoplotermes group sp. Q TB-2017. RNAcentral describes it as "tRNA-Arg". Lineage: Eukaryota; Metazoa; Arthropoda; Insecta; Blattodea; Termitidae. The record is from RNAcentral.